This 681-nucleotide ribosomal RNA is filed under the name Staphylococcus aureus. RNAcentral describes it as "partial 23S ribosomal RNA". It matches the Rfam family "Bacterial large subunit ribosomal RNA", at positions 513 to 1197 of the family's 2925-position model. The record is from RNAcentral. Lineage: Bacteria; Bacillati; Bacillota; Bacilli; Caryophanales; Staphylococcaceae.
GGUGAAAAGCACCCCGGAAGGGGAGUGAAAUAGAACCUGAAACCGUGUGCUUACAAGUAGUCAGAGCCCGUUAAUGGGUGAUGGCGUGCCUUUUGUAGAAUGAACCGGCGAGUUACGAUUUGAUGCAAGGUUAAGCAGUAAAUGUGGAGCCGUAGCGAAAGCGAGUCUGAAUAGGGCGUUUAGUAUUUGGUCGUAGACCCGAAACCAGGUGAUCUACCCUUGGUCAGGUUGAAGUUCAGGUAACACUGAAUGGAGGACCGAACCGACUUACGUUGAAAAGUGAGCGGAUGAACUGAGGGUAGCGGAGAAAUUCCAAUCGAACCUGGAGAUAGCUGGUUCUCUCCGAAAUAGCUUUAGGGCUAGCCUCAAGUGAUGAUUAUUGGAGGUAGAGCACUGUUUGGACGAGGGGCCCCUCUCGGGUUACCGAAUUCAGACAAACUCCGAAUGCCAAUUAAUUUAACUUGGGAGUCAGAACAUGGGUGAUAAGGUCCGUGUUCGAAAGGGAAACAGCCCAGACCACCAGCUAAGGUCCCAAAAUAUAUGUUAAGUGGAAAAGGAUGUGGCGUUGCCCAGACAACUAGGAUGUUGGCUUAGAAGCAGCCAUCAUUUAAAGAGUGCGUAAUAGCUCACUAGUCGAGUGACACUGCGCCGAAAAUGUACCGGGGCUAAACAUAUUACCGA